Molecule: long non-coding RNA, 949 nt
Organism: Canis lupus familiaris (dog)
Lineage: Eukaryota; Metazoa; Chordata; Mammalia; Carnivora; Canidae
Exons: 3
Source: RefSeq, a predicted model, not a curated record
CCCGCCCGCGCCAGCCGCGAGCCUCAAGCAGGUCUCCAGCCUCUGCUAGACCCACUGAGGCCGGGAAAGGAAGAGGACUGCCCCCGGGUCGCCGGCUCGGCAGUAGGAGACAGGCAGGCUCCACGCCUCCGCCGAACGUCCCGGGCUCCCGGCCCUGCCCUUUCUCCCCGCCUGCGACCGCGACCCUCUGUGGCCUGGGCGCCCAGUGCCCCUCCCCCAGACACACCUGCGCGCACACACCUCCACGAACGGGCCCCGCGCUCACACCCGCGCUCGCAGCUGCACGGUAGCACCCUGUGCACACGGGCACACGUUCACAUCCUCAUCCGAGGACGAGGACAGUCCUUGUCUGAGCCGCGGGGUGGCGGGGACGUGGUGGGCGUGGGGCAGGACGGCCCGUGGCCUCACUACCUGCCAGCUGUGCCACCUUGGGCACAGUGCUUAGUUUCUAGCGCUCCGGUUCCCUCAUCCGAAGAAUGGGAAGAAGCAUGCAUGCGUGGCUCAUAGGGUGCAAAGCCUGACUCUUGGGCAGGCAUCUUUGGCUGUUUUUCUCCCCAAUGCCCAGAGCAGCGUCUGUACGUUGCCGGCACGGAACAUCGGAAUGAAGAAAUGAAUAGAUGAGUUUUCACUGUUCUGGCCCGGAUCUCUGAGCACCAUCGUCUCUCACCUGGAUUAUUACUCAGCAGCCUCGUGCCUCGUCUCCUGGCUCCCACCUGCCCUCUCCAGUCCAUAUACAGCCUUCCCCGGCCCCAGAUAUGGUUGUUCCUUGGAGCCUGACUUCAAGGACUAUUUUUCCCGCUGGUGUACAUUCCCCAGUGCCCGAAGCAGAGGGAACACUCAAAUAUUUGUUGAGUGAAUGAAAAGGAAAUGCUAGUGGAUUUGCAGAAACGUCCAGGGGGACCAAGGCUCAGGGGCCCCGGAUACAAAAAUCAAGCUUGGCCUACGCAAG